This 1285-nucleotide long non-coding RNA is filed under the name Mus spicilegus (steppe mouse). RNAcentral's name for it is "lncRNA (ENSMSIG00000013465.1)". The record is from RNAcentral. Lineage: Eukaryota; Metazoa; Chordata; Mammalia; Rodentia; Muridae.
AUGUGGCUGCCUCUGUUUAGCUCUGGACCCCAGACAGAAAAAGCCAGGAGUAUAAAAUCUAAGGGCUUCUCCACCCUGGCCACUGUCAGGCUCGGUGAUUUGCUCAAUCUACAUCAUAGAACACAGUGUGGUUCCUGGAGCACUCAUAGACCCAAAGAUACUGAGUUUAGGGGUGGUAUUAGACCCUGGCUUCUCCCCACACCAGCAAGAAAUCCCCUAGAGACUGUAGCUUCACUCCAGCAGGACACUGGGUUGGUAAGGACUCUGCAUAUAGCCUUUUAUUGAUCACAGAAAGUGCUCAGUGCAGACCUGUGAGUGAACUGAGACUUCUCUUUCUAUCAAAGUUCUCUCUCCCGAGAUAGAGCCCUAGAACCUGAACGGUAGAUCCCUUCCCUGAGCCGAGGCAAGCACUCCAACCUAGCCCAGUCUAUUUUUCCAAGAGAAGCAUUCAUUGGUGAGGAUCAGAAGAGCUCUGGCUGGGGCAGGAAAGUGCUAUCUAAACAUGUCGUGAGGCCUGUGUGUCUGGCUGGCUGUCACCCGGGCCAGGUGGGCCUCUGACACACAGCAGGAAUUUUCCAUUGGCGCAUCCUCUAGCUGGUAGGGAUCCAAGGCAUUUUCAGACUACCCCCACCCACUCUUCCUUUUCACUCCAGUUGUCUAUCCUGCCACAUGAGUAUACACCCUGGGGCCCAGAACACAAGGACCUUCAAUCCUCAGGGAGACCUCAAGGGCCCCUAUUGUAUGCCACCCAGGAACCACCUAUCAUAAGCUUAAAUACAGAAUCCUGGGUGGAGAAGGGAAGAAGCACUUUAAAAAAAAUCUACAAGGGCAAUGAAAGUGAAGUUCAGAGAGAAAUGUGACAAUAUCCAAAAUAGAUCAAAUGCUGCUUUGUCUAACCCUGAUGCAAUUCUAUUUGCAGUGAACCCAUUUCCCUAGGGUAAGAAAGAACCAAGGUCCCUGAGAGACAACCGUAAGCCACGUGAAAGAUAUCCCAAGAUGAAGUUGCAACCAACGACUGAGCCACCCAUGUAAGGAAAAUCCCAGGUCACAAAAAUGUCCAGAGCGACCAGCUGAACAUUCAGAGACACCUACUUCAUGCCAUGCCGGGCUUAGAAGUGGCAACUCUAAAACGUCUACCUCCAAAUCAACGCCUGUGGGAGGUGUCCUGCCCUCCGAGGCCUGCAUCCCACAGUGGAAGGGGUGCUUUUUAUGCUGGGACUUAUGUGCUUGUCUCUGUAACUAGAGUACUUCUUGGGUAGUACUAAGAGCCUUGACCCAGUGUAAA